AUUCCACACUAUAAGGGCACUUUGUAUAAAAACGAUGCAACAACAACAACAACAAAGGCAUCAGAGUGCCUGUCAACCCUAUUAUUAGAGCUAGUGCUAUAAAUGUCGCUCAUCUUCUAAAUAACGAUUCACGAGGCUGAUUUUAAUAUUAUGAUUACUACAAUCUUGGGGGAUAAAAGACGAGUCGUCUAACCAAGAAAUGGGUCAUGGUGAAUUUAAAGUUGGAAAACAAAAAGGAUGCUGCCUUCACGGACACGCCCUGCUGCCAGAGCGUGCCAUCUCCAUCGUCUAGUUCGCUUAAAUAGUAGCCACCGAUUCCCAUGCGUUAAAAUCAUGCAGAGAAUGCCAGAAUAAAAACUUCACGUUUUUAUUCUGGUAUUUAGAAAUGUGUUUUUGAGCUGAGCUGAGCUCGCCUUCGGUUCAUCUCUGCAGACAAAGACAGUCUACCUACCCGGCAUGUCUGCAAAAGUGGCUCAUGCGCAGGAUGCGCACCACCAUUCCACAGCGAAGCCCCUGAUCCAGUGCUUUAAGUGCGGGCAGCCAUGCAAGGGUGAGGUGCUGCGGGUGCAGAACAAGCACUUCCACCUAAAGUGCUUCACCUGUAAAGCGUGCGGCUGUGACCUGGCCCAGGGCGGCUUCUUCAUGAAGAAUGGAGAUUAUCUGUGCACAGUGGACUACCAACGCAUGCACGGCACUCGCUGCAAUGGAUGCGGGGACUUUGUGGAGGGGGAAGUGGUCACUGCACUGGGCAAGACCUACCACCCUGCCUGCUUUGUCUGCACAGUCUGCAAGCGGCCGUUCCCAGCUGGAGACAGGGUGACCUUUAACGGGAAGGACUGUCUGUGUCAGUACUGUGUUGAGCCCAUGUCUCCAGGACCAAAGGACAUCCUGGACACCAGCAAUUGUGCGGGAUGCGGACGGGAUAUUAAGAACGGACAGGCUCUCCUAGCAUUGGAUCAACAGUGGCAUCUGGGCUGCUUCAAGUGUAAGGCCUGCGGGAAAGUGCUCACUGGGGAGUACAUCAGCAAGGACGGUGCACCGUACUGUGAGAAGGACUACCAGAUUCAUUUCGGAGUGCAGUGUGAGGCGUGCCAUCAGUUCAUUACAGGCAAAGUCCUUGAGGCAGGAGAUAAACAUUACCACCCCAGCUGUGCGAGAUGCAGCAGGUGCAAUCAGAUGUUCACGGAAGGAGAAGAGAUGUACCUGCAAGGGUCAACAGUGUGGCAUCCUGCCUGCAAGAACACAACAAGAACAGAGGAGAGGCACAGGGAGAGGCCUAUGAGGUCGUCAUCUGAGAGUAUUUGUUCCAGACCUGGUUCAAGCAUACCUGGCUCACCGGGCCACACAAUCUAUGCAAAAGUAGACAAUGAGAUUCUUGAUUACAGAGACCUAGCUGCCAUUCCAAAAGUCAAAGCAAUUUAUGACAUUGAGCGCCCUGACCUUAUUACCUAUGAACCCAUGUACACCACCUCCCUGGAGGAGAGAGAGGAGAGACGUGAAAGUGUAGGAGAGCUUCUCAAUGCCAGGAGGGAGCGCUCACCCUUGCCUGAUGAAAAGGGUUUUAGAACCAUGUCUCCAGCCCAAUCCAAUGAGGGAUGUUAUGACAAAAGAGAACGCAUUCUCCAAAGAUCCACCAGUCAGGGCUCCUUAGGCUCGCCAGUUUAUAAUCGCCAUGGUUACACCCCCACUCUAUCACGGUCCCCACAGCAUUUUCACAGGCCAGAUCAGGGCAGUAACAUCUACAGGAAACCACCCAUCUACAAACAAUACGCUGCCAUAGCACGCCAAAGCAAGUCGGCUGAUGACAUCAUCAGAUCUGCCACCUUCCCUGCUGCCCAUGCUCCCUCUCCAGAUGACAGCGCACAGAGUGAGGGUGAUUGUUGGCCCUCCUCUGACGCUGCAUUAGAGGGAAGAAGACGAUCCAGAGAAGAAGAGGACGAAGAUGCCUUAAAAAGAAAGCAGCUUCAGGAAGAACACCUCAACAAGAUUCAGUCGGGUUUGGGAAAGCUAAUUCUCAGGGAGGAGAUGGAGAAAGAACAGAUUAGGGAACGCCACACAAGGAGUGUGUCUGCUCAGCGCUAUGACAUCAAGCAGGAUAACGGUGAUGCAGAGCUAACAUCUCCAACGAGAACAAACUCUUUGCCUGGGUAUGGGAGGAAUGGGCUACACCGGCCCCAGUCAACAGAUUUCACACAGUACAACUGCUACGGUGACAUGUGCGGAGGGGGCAAAGUUGCUGUGCAUUUCGAAGUAGCCGCUUCCUGGCUCUCAGAGUGUGUCGUGAGGGACAAAAGUGUUCGCUCAUACUAGUUGCCUGAAAGGAGAUGUGACGGCAAAACCAUUAACUGUGAGUCUCGUUUUUCUGUCCCAUUUUGUCCUCCAGAGUUUCAGGUAUGUCGGCCAUCUGCUUUUUCACACGGCAUGCUUUCUCACCUUACGCCACAGAUUUCCUUGCAGUAGGCAUCUUGCCAUGAAUGCACACUGUCCACUUGUGCUACAUGCUUGUGUUGUCGUUGGACAUGUUGCUAUACUGUAUGUCAUUAAGACGUCACCUACGGGGCAUGCAGUCAUUUCAAAUGCACUGCCCGGUAGCUGAGCAUCUGUACUCUACGUGCAAAGUGCAAGCACCACCUCAUGUGUCUUUUUUUUGUGUGUGUGUGUCUGUCUUCCAACGUCAUGACUUGACUUAAAUGUUCAGUCUUGGAAAUAUUAUUUCAAAAUUCACAUCAGGGAAGCAUAAACAUACAGUGGAACAACAACUGCCCAUCUUGAAUGUUAGGAUCCUGCGCAGUAGUCAAGCUCCUCGCUCCAUCCAGUGAAAAGUGUGCCCACCGUCAUAAAACGACAACAUACUCAUGCCAUUAACCCUGCAGUCCCCUCCCACUAUAUUAUAUUUAUGUAUGUUCUAUUCUUUAGCACAUUAAGGAUGGCCGAGCAGCACUUGCAAGGAUGGACAGGGGAGUAUCUAUGCCUAAUAUGUUGGAGCCCAAAGCAAGUAUCUUCUUCUUUUUGUACUGAUGGCAACAAUGUGAACUACACUAUAUGGACAAAAGUAUUGAGACACACAUCAUUGUCGGUUGCCUAAUAAAUCAGGGGUUGGAAUUGACUCCUUUACGUUCUCUUGAAUUUUAAUGGUCGUCCUCAUCGGUCUUUGAAACGUUGUGUAAAACAUUGGAAAGUACCUCAAAUGAAAAACAAAAAAACAUUUUUAAAGAGUUGAAUAUUUUUUACUCAUGGUUUAAAAGUGUGUGUGUUGCCACGUUGCACACUGCAUGGUAGGAUAGUAAGUAUCUAUGUUACCUUCCUUUACCAGCUUCCUGCUUAUGUGAGAGAAUCUGUAGAAUAAAUAAAUAAAUAAAUGAAUGAAAUUGUAAAAGUAAAUAAAAUUGAAUACAAUUAAUUCUGAGAAGCAAGUUGAUUCUUAACGGGUGACAGGUGGCAAUGUUUUAAUUAACAUUCAUACAAAUAUGAAGAGAAGUUAAUUACUGUAUCCAUUCAUCCAUUCAUUCAUCUUUUGCUCCUCCCUAUCGUCAAAAGGGUCAUGGGUGUGCUGGAGCCUAUCUCAGCUGACUUUGGCUGAGAGGCAGGGGUGUACUGUACAAAGUAAAAAUAACAUUGGACGGCACUGUUGUAUCAAUAUUUUUUUGUGUUUGAAUCUCCUCUCAAGCCAUUAUUUAAAAAAAAAACAUUUGUGUUAGGUUUAGUGACAAUUUUAAAUUGCUUAUAGUUAUGAAUUUGCGUGCAUGCUACUUUGACAAAAUUUUAUGUGCCCUGUGACCUACUGCACUGCAUUGAAAUACAGAAGGACAGCAGCCCAAGGUUCGUAAAACCCCUUUCGAAGGCUAUAAAAAAAUAACAAAAUAAAUCGUCAAAGGUUCAUUUCAGGUCUAUCUUUCCAAUGUUUUUGCUAUUAAAAAUGCAUCAUCUCGUUAAUUCAUUUACAUGCCAUUUUGGCCAUGCUUCCAUGUUUGGGAACGGUUUGAGGAAGGCCCUUUUCUGUUGUAACAUGACUUGCAAAAAGUAAGGUUUAUAAAUGUCUACUUGGAUGUGCUUGGUGUGUGUGCGGUGGGGUGGGGGGGGACAUCAAACACUCUUGGGAUGAACUACAACCACAACCAAAAUUACGUCAUAGCCAGACCCCCUCUUAUGUCCACCAACAAUGACUGCUAAAUUCACAAGUGUCGUUCUCAAAUACCAACAUUCUCCCCAUACACUCCAAAGUUUUAAUAGCCAGGGGUCCCAAUACUUGUGCUCAUAUAUUGUAGGUUUAAAAAAAAAAAAAAAUCUAAUGAUCACUAAAGGUGAAAGUUUUGUUUAUCUUACUAACAAAAUAUUUGGACAAUGUGCGACGUUUUCAAACUAGAAAUAGUAGCAUGGAUUGGAUGUCAAUUACAGUGUGCUCCCUAUAGUGCAGGGGCAUCGUACCGUAUUUGAACACUCAAAUUUGAGAAGUUCCAGAUUUAGCAUGCCGCUUCAGGAGCUGUAGUCACUCUAGUGCUUAGCAUGCCAGCUUUUCAUUUUUCAUCUGCACAUAGCUUAUGCAUAGCUGUAUGUGCCAUACAGUGAAGAAGCCAAUGCCUAAAACUCCAUGUAAAACACUCAUACCCCUAUAAACUAGAACUCCCAUAUCGGAAGGGGAGAUGAAAUAUUCCAGGACUGAUAUAGUUCUAAUCCAGACUACAUAUUUUCCCCUCUGAAGCGAUCUCCCUGGAGUCUCAAACACCUCCUCUGCCUUCUCUGUUAUGUCCUCGUGGCUUUCUCAGAUAAUUCAUUAUUUCUUGUCUUGGCCAUUUUGAUAUCGUCCACAAAAUGGGUGCCCUUCAGUAUGCCCUUUAGGUUGGGAAAGAGGGGGAUAAAAAUCACAUGGCGUCAGGUGAGUCGGGAGGUUGCUCCAGCACUGCAAUAUUCUUCGUGACCAGGAACUGUCAGAGGCUCCUGUGUGCUUAAAAGGCCCAGCAUAAAACAUUUUUUGGGCUAACGCAUUCUGCCCUCUAGUUAAGAUGAUCAUUUGCACACCUCGCCAUUUAUGUUCUCUGGUUGGAGUAACCCUGAAAUUUGGGCUUUCCCUCUCUUAAGGGCCGAGCGUGUAUUCUGCCAAAGACUUAAUCACCUUUCCUCAUCCACAGUCCAGAGGCUGUUUGUAACUCCUGGACUUUUAUGAUGUUAUUGGCCAGAUAUUACUUUUUGAAAAAAAUCCAAAUAUAUUAUGUUAUGGGACAUUAUUAUAUUAUGGCCUGUUCUUAUGUUAUGGGCUACUACGGCAUGUGGAAAAAUGUUUAAUGGGUCCAGGGAGCUGAGGUCACAUUUACAGCAUAUACUCCAGGGCGAUUACAAUGAAGGGGAAAACGUAGUUGGUUUAGAAAUAUCUUUAUUGACAUUGAUCCUGGAACGUUUCUGACACACCUCAUAAGGAGUGUAAACUAAUGUUGCUUGUCAAAAACAUCACCAGAACAUUGAUUUGCCACCUUCUUCUCAUAUGCACAGAGAAUUAUUCAGAUGGUAGUUUAAUUUCCCAGCAUUUUUUAUGUUUUAUUUUUCAGUUUGGAUGAAAUUGAUUUACAAUCCCACCCUUACAUAACUGUGUCUACGUGUUGCACGUUAGAGUAUGCACACCAUAGCACCCGACCAGCAUUUUCCCCCAAAUAAACAACUGCUUUCACCGUCAGUCAGCCUCCUGUCACAUACGUGUUCUCCUGCCCAGUGUUCCCUCUGUCACUCUUACAACAACCGUUACAUACAAUUAUUGUUAUUUUGUCAAUUAAAUGGGUUAUUACUUAAGCAACGUGGGUAUGUGAGCCUGUGCACUGAUGAAUGUCUCCCUCUGAAGGUGUAUCCCUAUGAAAUGCUCAUGAUAACCAGUAGAGGGAGAGCUAAACUGCCCAGGGAUGUGGACAGAACCAGACUGGAGCGCCACUUAGCACCUGAAACGUUCUUUGACAUCUUUGGAAUGGAGAUCCAGGAGUUUGACAGGCUUC
Molecule: RNA transcript, 5975 nt
Organism: Syngnathoides biaculeatus (alligator pipefish)
Lineage: Eukaryota; Metazoa; Chordata; Actinopteri; Syngnathiformes; Syngnathidae
Gene name: actin-binding LIM protein 1-like
Exons: 21
Source: RefSeq, a predicted model, not a curated record